This 1022-nucleotide long non-coding RNA is filed under the name Triticum aestivum (bread wheat). RNAcentral's name for it is "long non-coding RNA (TAES_LNC013216)". Lineage: Eukaryota; Viridiplantae; Streptophyta; Magnoliopsida; Poales; Poaceae. The record is from RNAcentral.
UGGUCAGCACGGAGAACAUUACCCUGAAUUGGUAUUUUGGGAACAACCGGUCGAUGCUUGUGUCAAAUUGCCUGUUCCGGAUGGGCUGCGCUGCGAUCCUUCUGUCGAACAAGCGGUCAGACAGGAGGAGGUCCAAGUACGAGCUGGUACACACUGUGAGGACUCACAAGGGUGCAGAUGACAAGUGCUUCAGCUGUGUCACCCAGGAGGAGGAUGAUAGCGGCAAGGUUGGCGUGGCACUAUCCAAGGACCUCAUGGCGGUGGCUGGGGAUGCGCUCAAGACGAACAUCACAACGCUUGGCCCGCUUGUGUUACCAUUCUCGGAGCAGCUGCUGUUCAUGGUCACAUUGGUUGGCAAGAAGCUGUUCAAGAUGAAGAUCAAGCCAUACAUUCCUGACUUCAAGCUGGCAUUCGAGCACUUCUGCAUCCACGCUGGUGGGCGCGCUGUGCUUGAUGAGAUAGAGAAGAACAUGGACCUCACCGACUGGCACAUGGAGCCGUCCCGGAUGACUCUCUUCCGGUUCGGCAACACGUCCAGCAGCUCGCUCUGGUACGAGCUGGCCUACAGCGAGGCCAAGGGGAGGAUCAGGAGGCGCGACAGGAUCUGGCAGAUAGCGUUCGGUUCGGGGUUCAAGUGCAACAGCGCUGUCUGGAAGGCGCUCAGGUCAGUGAACCCUGCGAAGGAGCAGAACAACCCCUGGAUGGACGAGAUCGACACAUUUCCGGUGGUGGUUCCCAAGGUUUCCAAGGUUGUUGAAUAGCUUUGCCUGUUCAGUAAUAUACCACCCGGAACAGCAAGUGAGCAAAUCUUGCCAUUGAAUUCGACUGUAUGCAAUUUGUUUGGGUGAUCUGUCGGGGUAUUAAUUUUAGAUGAUUCCAUUUAGGUGGUACAGAGGGGUGUGGUGUCGUGCUGUUCACUUUUUAUCCAUUGAUCAGUUCUUAACAUCUUUGUGUUCCAUGUGGAUCGAGAAUCUUGGCCCCGAAAGGAGCAACUGCGUUGCAUUAAUUUUUCCAUGCGCACU